UUUUGCUUGUCAGCAUUUACGUAUUAAAAAUAAUAGUCAAAGUAACAUUCAAGCUCAUUUAAUGUAUGAUGAGAAAUCGGUAUAUAAAUCCGCAUUUUCCUGAACAAAUAUUCUCAAUACAUUCAACAACGAAUCGUAAGAUUGUAUCUCUGGCCAAAUUUCCUAUCGAUCAAAUACUUGAUUGAAAAGAUGUCGAAUAUAUUUUUGUUGAUGAUUUUAUCCUUAGUUGGUUGGCUUUGACUGGUGUCAAUGCGCAGUGGGAAAAUGAAGACACUGAAGGCUGUCAGGGAAAAUGGUGCCAUGCAGUUCAAGGUUACUAUUGCUGUAACGGUUACAGAUGUUAUUCAGGCGUGACGCAUGAUGGACAUUGUAUACCGAAGUAACAAUGAGGAUUACUUCAAAAUUGAGCACCCCAGAGAGGAAAGUACCACGGGCCCAGGCUUGGCCCAGACUUGGCCCAACUUUGUAGAACCUUGGGUCAGGCUUGUAAGCCAGUCUUGGCCCAGCCUUGGUAGAAGCCUGGAAUGAUAAUCUCGGGCCAAGCCUGGUUGCCAGACCUGGCCCAUGCUUGGUUACCAGACCUGACCCAUGCUUGUUUGUCAGACCUGGCCCAGGCUUCCAGGAAACGAAUAAAUUUAAUUAAAAAAAAUUUAUUAUUAUUAACCUCGUAGAAUUCAUGAUCAUUAACGUUUUAAUUAUCUAGGGGAGGUAAAUGAUGUGAAAAAAACUCGGUGGAAAUUCUGCUGGACUCUGGGCGCGAACUGCCGUCCUUCUGAUUACUAGGUCCGAACGGUAGCUACUGGACGAACCUACUAACGUUGAACUGGUACAUUUAUAUGAUCUACUUAUAUAAACCAUAGGUAUAUCCAAACUUGGGUAAUCCUACCUUGGCCCAAGCCUGUCUUGCCAUUGGAUGGCCAAGGCUAGGUUACCCAGUCUUGGCCCAAGUCCGGGUAAUCAUUGUAACGGCCAAGGCUAGGUUACCCAGUCCUGGCCCAAGUCUGGCUUGCCAUUGGAUAGCCAAGGCUAGGUUACCCAGUCCUGGCCCAAGCCUGGGCCAAUAUAGGUGUGCCAAAGCUAGGUUCCCCAGUGAUGGGCCAAGUAGGGGUCCGUUGUUCAACUCUGGCAGCUCCUGUAUAGGACCUAAUAUAUAUAUGAGACCGUUGGCAAAGUGAAUAUUGACAGAUCUUUUUUCAACAAUUGUACUUUAUUUUUUUUUUUUGAAAUCAAUAAUACACGUUAUUAAUUCAAAAAUUGUAUCUAAUAAAAAAAUAAAAUUAUAUUUUGGCUUCAAAAUAUUAACUGAGCACUAAAAU
Molecule: long non-coding RNA, 1316 nt
Organism: Microplitis mediator
Lineage: Eukaryota; Metazoa; Arthropoda; Insecta; Hymenoptera; Braconidae
Exons: 3
Source: RefSeq, a predicted model, not a curated record